UACGGAGGAUACGAGCGUUAUCCGGAUUUAUUGGGUUUAAAGGGUGCGUAGGCGGCUUUUUAAGUCAGCGGUGAAGUUUUGCAGCUUAACUGUAAAAGUGCCUUCGAAACUGGUUUCCUUGAGUGUAGAUGAAGUAGGCGGAAUUUGUGGUGUAGCGGUGAAAUGCAUAGAUAUCACGAGGAACUCCGAUUGCGCAGGCAGCUUACUAAACUACUACUGACGCUCAGGCACGAAGGCGUGGGGAUCAAACAGGAUUAGAUACCCCUGUAGUCCCU
Molecule: ribosomal RNA, 275 nt
Filed under: uncultured prokaryote
Description: partial 16S ribosomal RNA
Rfam family: Bacterial small subunit ribosomal RNA
Source: RNAcentral